Molecule: ribosomal RNA, 237 nt
Filed under: Triticum aestivum (bread wheat)
Lineage: Eukaryota; Viridiplantae; Streptophyta; Magnoliopsida; Poales; Poaceae
Description: partial small subunit ribosomal RNA
Source: RNAcentral
AUGGUCGUUCCGCCGCCGAGUCGGCGGCAGCAGCAGCGGCGGAACCGGCCAAAGCAAACCCUCCGCCGUGGAGGGGAAGGAGGAGGACGCGGAGGAGCUCGGCGUCACGCCGCAGCUCCUCGACUUCCUCUGGACACUCUCCCCCGACGCCUUCAAGAGGAUCCGCGGAGUCGGCGGCCGAGCUCUCGGACUGGCAGCAGCGGCAUGCCGUCCUCGUGCUCGCCAGAGCCAAGGUAG